CAUCUUCGUCUCUCUCUCUCUCUCUCUCUCUCUCUCUCUCUUACUCACUUUGAACCCCAGGGUCUUCACAGUAGACCCUCUCUCUCUCUCUCCAUUGAAGAUUUCUUGUGGGUUUGGUGCUGCGAGCAUUUGUGGGAGUUCUUGGAGGUUUGAGUUGCCGAUCGGCGUCUGUGGGUUUUAGGAAUUUUUCCUACGUUUUGUGCGAUUUUGGGUUGUUGCUGAGAAUCUCUCACAGCGCAUUGCCUUCAAAUAGAGGUGAGGACCUGCAGUCAAAGUGCUUGCUCGAGCUCUAUGGUCCAAAGGUCCAAGAUUUGAAGGAUAGUGAUAUGGAGUUAAAGUUAAUUUUGGAAAUGUAUAGAUGUGAAUUUACUGAUUCAAGGUUGCUCAAAUGAUGUGAUAUAUAUUAGUUUGUUUAGUGUUAUGAUGUCAAUGUUCUUAGAAGUUUGUAAGAUCUGGAGGGAUGUCAUGGAAGCCAGAGACUCAGAAUAUAAGGCUUGGGCCCAUGUUCAAACUUUGAAAUCCUCUCUUGAUGAGUGCAACUUGGAA
Juglans microcarpa x Juglans regia is the source of this 546-nucleotide long non-coding RNA. RefSeq lists it as uncharacterized. The transcript is spliced from 5 exons. The record is from RefSeq and is a predicted model, not a curated record. Lineage: Eukaryota; Viridiplantae; Streptophyta; Magnoliopsida; Fagales; Juglandaceae.